GAUGAACGCUGACAGAAUGCUUAACACAUGCAAGUCAUUGGCGAAGCUGCGCUUGCGCAGUCUAGCCAAGGCGGACGGGUGAGUAACGCGUAAGGAACUUGCCCUGCAGACAGGGAUAACAGACGGAAACGACUGAUAACACCUGGUAUUGUCAGGCUGGCGCAUGCCGGCCUGAUGAAAGGAGACGCUGCAGGAGAGCCUUGCGUCCUAUUAGCUAGUUGGUGGGGUAACGGCCCACCAAGGCGAUGAUAGGUAGCCGGCCUGAGAGGGUGAACGGCCACAAGGGGACUGAGAUACGGCCCUUACGCCUACGGGAGGCAGCAGUGGGGAAUAUUGGACAAUGGGGGCAACCCUGAUCCAGCAAUUCUGUGUGCACGAAGAAGGUUUUCGGAUUGUAAAGUGCUUUCAGCAGGGAAGAAGAAAGUGACGGUACCUGCAGAAGAAGCGACGGCUAAAUACGUG
This 462-nucleotide ribosomal RNA is filed under the name uncultured bacterium. Its description in RNAcentral is "partial 16S ribosomal RNA". It matches the Rfam family "Bacterial small subunit ribosomal RNA", at positions 28 to 507 of the family's 1533-position model. The record is from RNAcentral.